UGGAACACCGUUACUCCGCAAGGGGGUCCGGUCGAGGUGCUGCAUGGCUGUCGUCAGCUCGUGUCGUGAGAUGUUGGGUUAAGUCCCGCAACGAGCGCAACCCUUGUCCUGUGUUGCCAUACUGUAAAAAGUGGAACUCGCAGGAGACCGCCAGCGACAAGCUGGAGGAAGGUGGGGACGACGUCAAGUCAUCAUGGCCUUUAUGUCCAGGGCUACACACGUGCUACAAUGGGCGGUACAAUGGGUCGCCAACCCGCGAGGGGGAGCCAAUCCCAAAAAGCCGUCCUCAGUUCGGAUUGCAGGCUGCAACUCGCCUGCAUGAAGCUGGAAUCGCUAGUAAUGCUAUAUCAGAACGAUAGCGUGAAUACGUUCCCGGGCCUUGUACACACCGCCCGUCACAUCACGAAAGCGGGUUGUACUAGAAGUCCGCAGGCUAACCGCAAGGAGGCAGCGGCCCAAGGUAUGAUCCGUGAUUGGGGUGAAGUCGUAACAAGGUAACCGU
RNAcentral lists this ribosomal RNA (502 nucleotides) under uncultured Acidobacteriota bacterium. RNAcentral describes it as "bacterial SSU rRNA". It matches the Rfam family "Bacterial small subunit ribosomal RNA", at positions 1001 to 1503 of the family's 1533-position model. Lineage: Bacteria; Pseudomonadati; Acidobacteriota. The record is from RNAcentral.